Merluccius polli (Benguela hake) is the source of this 79-nucleotide non-coding RNA. NCBI's taxonomy places the organism in Eukaryota, Metazoa, Chordata, Actinopteri, Gadiformes, Merlucciidae. The record is from the annotation of a GenBank genome assembly.
ACCAGGAUGGCCGAGUGGUUAAGGCGAUGGACUUAAAAUCCAAUGGACAUCUUUGUGGGUUCAAACCCCACUCCUGGUA